GAUAUUUACAAAUGCAAUGAGAUUUACAGAGUAUGCAUUGGUGAGCGUGCAUCUACUGAUUCAUUUGCUGAACUGCAAGGUGCUAAAUGCUAUUAGAUGUAUGCAAAUGAAGCAUUACGUAAUUUUAAAUUCAUGAAUCAUGACACUUGCGCUGUCUAUUGCACAUGGAGAUGGUAUUAUACCUUCUUUGUGGUGACCUAUUCAGUUGCAUCUUUCAGUACAUUCUGCACACAAUGAAGUUUGAGAACAUAGCUUUCAAGCAUCACCACAGGACUGGAUGACUCAACA
This 288-nucleotide long non-coding RNA is filed under the name Citrus maxima (pomelo). Its description in RNAcentral is "long non-coding RNA (CMAX_LNC002315)". The record is from RNAcentral. Lineage: Eukaryota; Viridiplantae; Streptophyta; Magnoliopsida; Sapindales; Rutaceae.